GGCUUUGAAACCCGGGGCCGGAUCUUCUGAGUCGUACGGGGGGCUUCCGGCUCGAUAAAGUUGUUUUCUUCUCUUUCCUCUGGUGCAAGUGAGCUCCCAGAUUCUGUCCAAUCUGUGGCAGUAAACCCGCAGGACCGUGCUCCCACAGACAGGUCUCGGCCCACUCCUCCGCCGUGCGCUCCAGCUCGGUGUCCCAUUCCUGAACAAGCUCCACAUUCCCCAACUGGACAGACUCAACCUCCUCCUCAUGUAAAGAAAGGCCAGGCAACCGGAAGCACAGCCGAGAUCAGGAUGUUGUUGACGUGGCCCAGGACUCUCCUGAAGGCGGGGCGCUCCAGCACACGCUCGUAGUAGG
Long non-coding RNA from Hippocampus comes (tiger tail seahorse), 355 nucleotides. RefSeq lists it as uncharacterized. NCBI's taxonomy places the organism in Eukaryota, Metazoa, Chordata, Actinopteri, Syngnathiformes, Syngnathidae. The record is from RefSeq and is a predicted model, not a curated record. The transcript is spliced from 4 exons.